This 467-nucleotide ribosomal RNA is filed under the name uncultured bacterium. Its description in RNAcentral is "partial 16S ribosomal RNA". It matches the Rfam family "Bacterial small subunit ribosomal RNA", at positions 28 to 507 of the family's 1533-position model. The record is from RNAcentral.
GAUGAACGCUGCGGCGUGCUUAACACAUGCAAGUCGCACGGAAAGGCCCUGCUUUUGUGGGGUGCUCGAGUGGCGAACGGGUGAGUAACACGUGAGUAACCUGCCCUUGACUUUGGGAUAACUUCAGGAAACUGGGGCUAAUACCGGAUAGGAGCUCCUGCUGCAUGGUGGGGGUUGGAAAGUUUCGGCGGUUGGGGAUGGACUCGCGGCUUAUCAGCUUGUUGGUGGGGUAGUGGCUUACCAAGGCUUUGACGGGUAGCCGGCCUGAGAGGGUGACCGGCCACAUUGGGACUGAGAUACGGCCCAGACUCCUACGGGAGGCAGCAGUGGGGAAUAUUGCACAAUGGGCGGAAGCCUGAUGCAGCAACGCCGCGUGCGGGAUGACGGCCUUCGGGUUGUAAACCGCUUUCGCCUGUGACGAAGCGUGAGUGACGGUAAUGGGUAAAGAAGCACCGGCUAACUACGUG